This 468-nucleotide ribosomal RNA is filed under the name uncultured bacterium. RNAcentral's name for it is "partial 16S ribosomal RNA". It matches the Rfam family "Bacterial small subunit ribosomal RNA", at positions 28 to 507 of the family's 1533-position model. The record is from RNAcentral.
GACGAACGCUGGCGGCGUGCUUAACACAUGCAAGUCGAACGGAAAGGCCCUGCUUUUGUGGGGUGCUCGAGUGGCGAACGGGUGAGUAACACGUGAGUAACCUGCCCUUGACUUUGGGAUAACUUCAGGAAACUGGGGCUAAUACCGGAUAGGAGCUCCUGCUGCAUGGGGGGGGUUGGAAAGUUUCGGCGGUUGGGGAUGGACUCGCGGCUUAUCAGCUUGUUGGUGGGGUAGUGGCUUACCAAGGCUUUGACGGGUAGCCGGCCUGAGAGGGUGACCGGCCACCUUGGGCCUGAGAUACGGCCCAGACUCCUACGGUAGGCAGCGGUGGGGAAUAUUGCACAAUGGGCGGAAGCCUGAUGCAGCAACGCCGCGUGCGGGAUGACGGCCUUCGGGUUGUAAACCGCUUUCGCCUGUGACGAAGCGUGAGUGACGGUAAUGGGUAAAGAAGCACCGGCUAACUACGUG